AUUGCAGCUGCCUCUCCCGCCGAGUUGGAGACGGAUGGGCUGGGACGGGUUUUGGGGGGGUGUCCCCAAUUCUGACUGGGAGUGGAGGAACCCCUCCUGAGAUCUCUUGUGGGGGUGCCCCCUCCCCAGGGCACUCCCCAGUCCCUGAGCCAGCCGAGAGGAAGGAGGCCAGCGAUGCGACUGGGGCGGCUCCUUUCUCCUGCACCCCAAAUGUGAGGGAUGCACCCUAAAUUUUGCUCUUUUCAAAAUAGGGGACCAGGAUCUCAGGGGAGAGUAGCUGAGGCCUUGCUCGGAGUCCCAGGAGAUCCACAGGUCCGGCAUGAACAGUGAGAGGUCAGAGGUGGAAGGCUCAGCAGGAGAGGAGAGGAGGAUCAGCAGAGGUCAUGAGAAGGCCAGAAUCCAGGGUCAGGCUGUCUGGAACAGGAAGUAAAAUGGGCCGAGAUGGAGCGAGCCCCCAGUGUGCUUCCAAGGCCACUCCCACCUCCCUGAAACACCCUGCUACGUACUGAUCCAAUGCCCUGCGCUGUGUAUGAGAGCACCUUCUCUUCUGAAACCCCUAUACAAGGGAGGGGCCCCUGCGGAGACCGUGCCCUGCCAUCCAGGUCACCUUGCCUUCAGGGACCUGGGCUUUCAGCUGUCCAUACCUGGCCCUGGUUGAUGGCGGCAUGCUGGGCAGUGCACGUGAAGACGCACAUGAGACAGCAUCUCGUAUGUUGCCCAGGCUGGCCUUGAAAGCCUGGCCU
RNAcentral lists this long non-coding RNA (743 nucleotides) under Homo sapiens (human). Its description in RNAcentral is "non-protein coding lnc-SLC16A11-7:6". Lineage: Eukaryota; Metazoa; Chordata; Mammalia; Primates; Hominidae. The record is from RNAcentral.